CCCUAGCCUAGAUUAGGGAUGCAGAAUAGUACAAUUGAUCUCUGAGAGUUGCCCAUGGCUGCCCACCACUAUUGGACCCCAAAUAAUGGUUUGCCCUAGAAAUAGGCAAGGACCUGAAUGCUGCUAUUUCCACAUGCUUUUAGCUUGUUUUGGAACAGCUGAGCAGUUUUUCAGAACAGUUGCUGCAGUAGGGGUAUUCAGACAUUGUUGACAAAGCAAUGAAACAUUAAGCUGAUUUUGCCAGACAUAAUUGCAAUUAUCUUUUGCUAUUAUGGUCUUGAGGGUAACAAUGCUGCUCACUGUGCAAGUGGCUGUGAUGCUCUGGACUAUCUCUAUGUUGCCACGCAUUGGUUCUAGCUAUGAGCUCCAGGAUACCAUCCAUUCUUUGAAAAAUGAGAAUGUCCAUCUUCACCACCGUCUGGAGAAUCUCACCCGCACUCUCCGCAAACUGAAGCAUCUGCUCUUGGAUCACUCACGAGGUAUCGGUCCUGAGAAACAUCACCUGCUGGAACAGGCUUUCUGCUGGCCUGAUCUCCAAGGAGCUGCCAAUUCUAUCUUCACUGUACCUGCCCUCUUCCUCCUUACUCCAAUCAUUGUCUGGUUGAGCCAUCUGCUUUUCUGACUUCUGAGAACUUGAGAAAACAGAAAUCACUAUUGUUAGCCUGGUCCCAGAUCUGUUUGUGCUUUCUUGCCAACUCCUAUGGUCAGUGUCUCACGCAUGAGUUAGUGUAGGAGCCCGUAAUAUCGGCAUAUUAAACAGUGUUUAAGAAAUAUAUUACCUUCAACAGUGUUAUCCUGUGAUCAAGCCAUCAAUGUUUUGUGAUUAUUGGUGUUGCAAAAAUGUUAUCGGGUUAGCAAUUAGCAUGUUUGACAUUUCAGUGGAAAUACUACUAUUAUCAGCUUUUUGAUAAGCGAUUUAGCUAAAAAAUGCACUGAGUAUUAUCGGCAUAACCCAGUUAUUGGCCACCUUGCUAUUUUGUUCAAUUACAAGAUAUAUCCAUUUAAAUUUGUGAAAAAAAGUGACACCAACCUCCUCUCUGAAAUGUUUACUAGAUAGUUGACUAGUUGGCUAGCCUUCCGGUUAAAAAAAUGUACUUGCCCGUCAACUUUUCAUUGUGUUGGCCGGUGUGCCUUCCUGUGGACUCUGGUUCUUCACCAACAUCUUCUUCAGUGUUGUAACCAAAUAAUGUCUCAUAAUUUGAUUUACAGAUGAAUCUUAUGUUUUGAGAAAGUAGAUAACAGUUUAAUACUAAAAUAUAAAUGAGUAUGAAUAAUUUACAUCAAAUAAAACUUUCAUUUCAGUGAUGUGCAUUGACAUAAACAAUGAAAACACGGUUGGAGUUUGUGUUGCAGAGGAAGAAAUACACAAGAUGGGUUGAAUAAAUAUAUGUAAAUUAUAUUUUAGACAUGUAUUUUUUACAAAUAAAUAAUUGCAU
This 1436-nucleotide long non-coding RNA is filed under the name Oncorhynchus mykiss (rainbow trout). RNAcentral describes it as "lncRNA (ENSOMYG00000011976.2)". Lineage: Eukaryota; Metazoa; Chordata; Actinopteri; Salmoniformes; Salmonidae. The record is from RNAcentral.